UAGGGAAUCUUCGGCAAUGGACGAAAGUCUGACCGAGCAACGCCGCGUGAGUGAAGAAGGUUUUCGGAUCGUAAAACUCUUUUGUUAGAGAAGAACAAGGACGUUAGUAACUGAACGUCCCCUGACGGUAUCUAACCAGAAAGCCACGGCUAACUACGUGCCAGCAGCCGCGGUAAUACGUAGGUGGCAAGCGUUGUCCGGAUUUAUUGGGCGUAAAGCGAGCGCAGGCGGUUUCUUAAGUCUGAUGUGAAAGCCCCCGGCUCAACCGGGGAGGGUCAGUGGAAACUGGGAGAGUUGAGUGCAGAAGAGGAGAGUGGAAUUCCAGGUGUAGCGGUGAAAUGCGUAGAUAUAUGGAGGAACACCAGUGGCGAAGGCGGCUCUCUGGUCUGUAACUGACGCUGAGGCUAGAAAGCGUGGGGAGCAAACAGG
RNAcentral lists this ribosomal RNA (429 nucleotides) under Gemmatimonadota bacterium. RNAcentral describes it as "Gemmatimonadetes bacterium partial 16S ribosomal RNA". It matches the Rfam family "Bacterial small subunit ribosomal RNA", at positions 355 to 776 of the family's 1533-position model. The record is from RNAcentral. Lineage: Bacteria; Pseudomonadati; Gemmatimonadota.